GCCGGUCUUACACUACCCAACCCGCUCUGAGCUGGGCGACCUUCCGCAUAUGAGUCGGAUGCUCUACCAAGAAGGCUAAAGACCAUGGCGUCUAGCAUCUGUCGCUAGAGCACCUUUAGAGGUCAGAGGAGUGAGGUUUACCUGCACAGCACGUACUAGCUUGCCUCCGUUACAUGUGUAUUACAGUGUGACCAAAGUGAAAACAGGAAAAGCGUCAACAAGAUGAAUCACAGUCACACGGUUGUUAGUGGAGUGAUUGAUAGCAGACGGUGAUAAAAUCAUCAGCAGUGGAAAAGCACUGGUGAGUGAAAUAACAGGUGAAUUUUAUCUUGUAUAAAUCAGUGUUGCUUAAACUAAAAUACAUUUUGCCAACU
RNAcentral lists this long non-coding RNA (374 nucleotides) under Danio rerio (zebrafish). RNAcentral's name for it is "lncRNA (ENSDARG00000117795.1)". Lineage: Eukaryota; Metazoa; Chordata; Actinopteri; Cypriniformes; Danionidae. The record is from RNAcentral.